RNAcentral lists this long non-coding RNA (1104 nucleotides) under Nicotiana benthamiana. RNAcentral's name for it is "long non-coding RNA (NBEN_LNC005733)". The record is from RNAcentral. Lineage: Eukaryota; Viridiplantae; Streptophyta; Magnoliopsida; Solanales; Solanaceae.
UUCCUCUCAUUGUAUACUGUUCUGAAUUGAAUAAAAUGGAGAUGUUAUGGCAUAAUAGACUAGGACACAUGCCUUUUGUUAGAAUGAAAGACAGUCCUCAUAUUCCAUGCAAGUUUGCAAAUAAACAACCUUUCAUAUGUACUGUUUGCCCAUUAGCCAGGAAAUCUAGACUUCCUUUCCAUGACAGUUCCAUUAAGACAACACAUGCCUUUCAACUCAUUCAUGUAGAUACAUGAGGUUCUUAUGCCACUCCCACUCAUAAUGGAUGUAAAUAUUUCCUAACAAUAGUUGAUGAUUUUACUAGAGCUACUUGGACUCACCUUAUGGGGUCCAAGAGCAAUGCCUUUCCCCUUAUCAAAGCUUUCAUUGCCAUGAAGAGCUACUUGGACUCACCUUAUGGGGUCCAAGAGCAAUGCCUUUCCCCUUAUCAAAACUUUCAUUGCCAUGAUAAAAACUCAAUUCCAAACUGUUGUACAAACAAUUAGAAGUGACAAUGCUUUUGAACUUGGGUCCAGUGGUUCUGGCAGCAGCUUCUUUGCUGAAAAUGGAAUAAUACACCAAACCUCCUGUUCUUACACACCACAACAAAAUGGUGUGGUUGAAAGAAAAUACAGACAUCUGCUAGAAACCUCCAGAGCCUUACUUUUUCAUUCCCAACUACCCCUUAGAUUCUGGGGUGAUUGUUUGCUUACUGCAACCUAUCUCAUAAAUAGAUUUACUUCCAAACUACUUAAAAAUAUAUCACCUUUUGAAUUGCUUUUUGGACAAGUUCCUUCUUAUAGCCAUCUUAAAACAUUUGGUUGUCUUUGUUUUGCUUUAGUCCCCAAACAGAAUAGGGAUAAAUUUCAGCCCAGAGCUGAUCCUUAUGUUUUUCUGGGAUAUCCAUUGUGUAAAAAGGGAUACAAGCUGUACAACUUGAAGACUAAGCUUACCAUAGUCUCUAGGGAUGUGGUCUUCCAUGAGGAUGUAUUCCCUUUUGCUCCUUCAGGGAAUGCUUUUCCUGUUCCUUCUCCUACUCUUAAUCCAUCUCCUGUUUGGCUUCCUCCUACUGAUGACUCCUUGCUCAAUACUUCCUCACCUUCCUCCAAUUCUGCACCCCUUGCU